RNAcentral lists this ribosomal RNA (220 nucleotides) under uncultured bacterium. RNAcentral describes it as "partial 16S ribosomal RNA". It matches the Rfam family "Bacterial small subunit ribosomal RNA", at positions 111 to 334 of the family's 1533-position model. The record is from RNAcentral.
UAAUGUAUGGGGAUCUGCCUGAUGGCGGGGGAUAACUACUGGAAACGGUAGCUAAUACUGCAUAAUGUCUGCGGACCAAAGCGGGGGACCUCCGGGCCUCGCGCCAUCAGAUGAACCCAUAUGGGAUUAGCUUGUAGGUAAGGUAACGGCUUACCUAGGCGACGAUCCCUAGCUGGUCUGAGAGGAUGAUCAGCCACACUGGGACUGAGACACGGCCCAG